GCAUGGCCAGAAUAGCCCACUGUACUUAUAGUCCAAUUUUGGAUGAUGCUGCUGCAAUGAGACCUGGGACACAGUGCGCAUGAGCGAGUUCACCUCCCACGUGUCCUCCUGGAACAUCGGAAGCAGCUCACGUGGGUUCGGGGGAGAGCUUUCCGGAGGCAGGGUUGGUUGAAGCUGUCACAGAGGAAGAGGUGAAGCAAGUUCCAGGAAGAGUAAAUGACCAAGAGGCCCCACAUGGAACCGUGGGCAAGAAGACUCAGCCUCUGCCCUAGUUUCCAGACCAAACCCAAUGUGUGGGCGGGCAGAACCCCACCUCUUCACCUACUCCUCAGAAGGGGAGCCCCA
Molecule: long non-coding RNA, 345 nt
Filed under: Mustela putorius furo (domestic ferret)
Lineage: Eukaryota; Metazoa; Chordata; Mammalia; Carnivora; Mustelidae
Description: lncRNA (ENSMPUG00000023837.1)
Source: RNAcentral